AAAAACACCCCCGCAGUUCGACCAUUCAAAAUCUGUCACUGUGUACCGGUACACGGGCCCGUGUACCGGUACACAUCCCACGAAAACGCCAAACCCGAGCCUCGGGUUGGCUAGGAAGCUGCCUGUGUACCGAUACACGAGUCCGUACCGGUACAACCAUCAACCCCGUACCAGUACAGCCAUCAACCCUGUACCAGUACGCAGCCUGCUGAAGGCUACCCGAGAACUGACCAAAAAAUCGAUUUUUCGGGUUUUGGUGCAAAGCUUCAAACCUCAAUUCUCGGGGUACAAACUAUAGGUCGGAACACUGUCAACGACCCUCCAGAAUAACUGGAAAAAGCUCGAAUCACAGAUCAAACACUCGAACCCCGCAAUUUGCAAAAGUCCAGUGUGUUACAGCCUAAUACAUCGACACUAGAAUCGUUCCCCAUGUAUACUCUUCUGCUCCCAACAGGCAUACGACGGUACUUGACGAAUCGCAUCUGAUCUCUCGCUACGUAGUCUUUUGCUCCUGAGUCUACAAUCCACACAGGGA
This 535-nucleotide long non-coding RNA is filed under the name Ananas comosus (pineapple). RNAcentral's name for it is "long non-coding RNA (ACOM_LNC021350)". Lineage: Eukaryota; Viridiplantae; Streptophyta; Magnoliopsida; Poales; Bromeliaceae. The record is from RNAcentral.